AAUAGAUACCCGGGUAGUCCGCGCCGUAAACGAUGAGUGCUAAGUGUUAGAGGGGUUUCCGCCCUUUAGUGGCUGCAGCUAACGCAUUAAGCACUCCGCCUGGGGGAGUACGGCCGCAAGGCUGAAAACUCAAAGGAAGUUGACGGGGGGCCCCGCACAAGCGGUGGAGCAUGUGGUUUUAAUUCGAAGCAACGCGAAGAACCUUACCAGGUCUUGACAUCUCCUGACAAUCCUAGAGAUAGGACGUUCCCCCUUUUAGGGGGACAGGAUGACAGGUGGUGCAUGGUUGUCGUCAGCUCGUGUCGUGAGAUGUUGGGUUAAGUCCCGCAACGAGCGCAACCCUUGAUCUUAGUUGCCAGCAUUUUAGUUGGGGCACUCUAAGGGUGACUGCCGGUGACAAACCGGAGGAAGGUGGGGAGUGACGGUCAAAUCAUCAUGCCCCUUAUGACCGUGGGCUACACCACGUGCUACAAUGGAUGGUACAAAGGGGCUGCAAGACUGCGAAGUCAAGCCAAUCCCAAUAAAACCCAAUUCUCAGUUCGGAUUGC
RNAcentral lists this ribosomal RNA (548 nucleotides) under uncultured bacterium. Its description in RNAcentral is "bacterial SSU rRNA". It matches the Rfam family "Bacterial small subunit ribosomal RNA", at positions 777 to 1301 of the family's 1533-position model. The record is from RNAcentral.